RNAcentral lists this ribosomal RNA (613 nucleotides) under uncultured bacterium. RNAcentral describes it as "bacterial SSU rRNA". It matches the Rfam family "Bacterial small subunit ribosomal RNA", at positions 338 to 951 of the family's 1533-position model. The record is from RNAcentral.
CCUACGGGAGGCAGCAGUAAGGAAUAUUGGACAAUGCUCGCAAGAGUGAUCCAGCCAUGCCGCGUGCAGGAAGAAUGCCCUAUGGGUAGUAAACUGCUUUUGAACUAGAGAAAAUCCCAGUACGUGUACUGGGCUGAUAGUAUAGUUAGAAUAAGCAUCGGCUAACUUCGUGCCAGCAGCCGCGGUAAGACGAAGGAUGCAAGCGUUAUCCGGAUUCAUUGGGUUUAAAGGGAGCGUAGGUGGACUGAUAAGUCAGUGGUGAAAUCUCCGAGCUUAACUCGGAAAUUGCCAUUGAUACUGUUGGUCUUGAGUACAGUUGCUGUGGGCGGAAUAUGACAUGUAGUGGUGAAAUACAUAGAGAUGUCAUAGAACACCGAUUGCGAAGGCAGCUCACAAAGCUGUAACUGACACUGAGGCUCGAAAGUGCGGGGAUCAAACAGGAUUAGAUACCCUGGUAGUCCGCACCGUAAACGAUGAUUACUCGCUGCUAGGGGGCAACCUUUAGUGGCUUAGCGAAAGCGANAAGUAAUCCACCUGGGGAGUACGCCGGCAACGGUGAAACGUCAAAGGAAUUGACGGCGNGAGAGNGCGACGACGACGACGAGGGAGGAGG